CCCCGAGCGGCGGCGCCCCGGACGCGCCUGGGAGGAGCUGCCACGCCACUGCCCCGAUUGGGCUCCGCGCUCAAGCCGGGCUACGGGGAACUUUUGCUGCAUCACCCGGUGGCGCCAGGAGCACUUCCCUGUCGACAGCCGGAGCCCCUAGCAGAAGCUCCGUUUGAAGAGCCUCAAGUAGAAAGAACGGAAACUAAAAAGUACCAGGCAUCAAUUUUAUCUGGCAAUCAUCAGAAUACAUCAGACCGCAAAACUAUACAUUCCUGGACCUCACAAGACGCAUGGCAAGGAAUUUCAGCAAGCCAACCAAAGUGCUCUGCUACAGCCACAUCUGCAGUCUACAACCUGAGCAACAACGCUGACAUUAAAACCACUGUGGCCAAGAACAUACAACCGCCAAAAAAAAAAAAGGGGGGUGGGGGGGGAAGUGUGGAAAUUCCAAAUCCACCUUCUCAAUUUCUGGUUUAAGAUUACAUAGCAUUAUUUAACCCACCAUCACUAAACUCACUUUCAUGUGAACAACCAGGAAGCCCAAGUAAAUGGAAUUUUUAUUUGCACAUUCUGUAUUAUUUUAUGAGAAGACAAAUGACAGAAAAUGUGGGAAUUUAGGUAAAAGAACAAUUUCCCAGAAUGUCAAGGUUGAUAACUUCUGUAACUAGAGUAUGGUAUAUUGACAAUAAAUGUACAUAGUGACCUCAAAA
Long non-coding RNA from Cynocephalus volans (Philippine flying lemur), 701 nucleotides. RefSeq lists it as uncharacterized. The transcript has 2 exons. Lineage: Eukaryota; Metazoa; Chordata; Mammalia; Dermoptera; Cynocephalidae. The record is from RefSeq and is a predicted model, not a curated record.